Molecule: ribosomal RNA, 305 nt
Filed under: uncultured bacterium
Lineage: Bacteria
Description: bacterial SSU rRNA
Rfam family: Bacterial small subunit ribosomal RNA
Source: RNAcentral
GUAUCCUACGGGGGGCAGCAGUGGGGAAUAUUGCACAAUGGGGGAAACCCUGAUGCAGCGACGCCGCGUGAGUGAGGAGGUAUUUCGGUAUGUAAAGCUCUAUCAGCAGGGAAGAAAAUGACGGUACCUGACCAAGAAGCCCCGGCUAACUACGUGCCAGCAGCCGCGGUAAUACGUAGGGGGCAAGCGUUAUCCGGAUUUACUGGGUGUAAAGGGAGCGUAGGCGGCUGUGUAAGCCAGAAGUGAAAGCCCGAGGCCCACCCACGGGCCUGCUUUUGGAACUACCUGGCUUGAUUGCAGGAGAG